UACGUAGGGUGCAAGCGUUAAUCGGAAUUACUGGGCGUAAAGCGUGCGCAGGCGGUUGUGUAAGACAGAUGUGAAAUCCCCGGGCUCAACCUGGGAACUGCAUUUGUGACUGCACAGCUGGAGUGCGGCAGAGGGGGAUGGAAUUCCGCGUGUAGCAGUGAAAUGCGUAGAUAUGCGGAGGAACGCCGAUGGCGAAGGCAAUCCCCUGGGCCUGCACUGACGCUCAUGCACGAAAGCGUGGGGAGCAAACAGG
Molecule: ribosomal RNA, 253 nt
Filed under: uncultured bacterium
Lineage: Bacteria
Description: partial 16S ribosomal RNA
Rfam family: Bacterial small subunit ribosomal RNA
Source: RNAcentral